ACCGCUCUGGAAAGCUGGUUCUAGAUCCAAAGCUCAUGGAGCUGGAGAAGUCUAGAACCACAGGGCGGGGCUCUAGAUCCACUCAGAGAGCUGCGUCGCAGGAUUCACGUGCAGCCAAGACAGCAAGCACCGCCUCACUGCCCAGGCUGGAGGGCAGGGGCUCCUCCUCCUCCCCCCGCCCAGCAAAGGGGCGGAGUUAACGUGCCACAAACCUAGGGGGGAAGUCUACACAGCUUUUUUCUUUUUGUCAAAGCACCUAUAGCAAGAGAGGAACGGAGUGGGGCCGGACCCUUUAGGCCCUUGUCCAAGCACAACAGAAGUCCGGCUUUGUAACCUGAUGAGGGUUUUAGGCUAUGAAAAACGAUGCCAAUUUCACACCACGUUCACCAUCUGAGAGUUGGAUGGAUCCAGCUGGAAGUCCCAAGGUCGGAGACCCGGUUUGGGGUUAAGACGGCCCUUUUAGCGUUUUAGGGGUGAUUAUACCUAAUUUACCCCCAGGAAACCCUUUGUCCUGGAGGAGGGGGAGGAGAAGCAAUGGGAAGAACUGGGCUCCAUUCCCUGGUAAGCUCCGGUCGGAAUACAGACGUGCUCAGCCGUUCUCUUGCACUGCCUGCCCGGCCUGCCAGGUGUAUCCUCCAUUCAACCAGGAGCCCCGCUCAGCACUGCCGCACUGCUUGGUGUGUGCUCUCUCAUUCAACCAGGAGCCCCGCUCGGCACUGCCGCACUGCUUGGUGUGUGCGCUCUCUCAUUCAACCAGGAGCCCCGCUCAGCACUGCCGCACUGCUUGGUGUGUGUGCUCUCUCAUUCAACCAGGAGCCCCGCUCGGCACUGCCGCACUGCUUGGUGUGUGCGCUCUCUCAUUCAACCAGGAGCCCCGCUCAGCACUGCCGCACUGCUUGGUGUGUGUGCUCUCUCAUUCAACCAGGAGCCCCGCUCGGCACUGCCGCACUGCUUGGUGUGUGCGCUCUCUCAUUCAACCAGGAGCCCCGCUCGGCACUGCCGCACUGCUUGGUGUGUGCGCUCUCAUUCAACCAGGAGCCCCGCUCAGCACUGCCGCACUGCUUGGUGUGUGCGCUCUCUCAUUCAACCAGGAGCCCCGCUCGGCACUGCGGUACUGCUUGGUGUGUGCUCUCAUUCAACCAGAAACCCCGCUCAGCACUGCGGUACUGCUUGGUGUGUGCGCUCUCAUUCAACCAGGAGCCCCGCUCGGCACUGCGGUACUGCUUGGUGUGCGCUCUCAUUCAACCAGGAGCCCCGCUCGGCACUGCGGUACUGCUUGGUGUGUGCGCUCUCUCAUUCAACCAGGAGCCCCGCUCAGCACUGCCGCACUGCUUGGUGUGUGCUCUCUCAUUCAACCAGGAGCCCUGCUCAGCACUGCUGUCUCACGUUGGAACUCCUCUUUGCACGGAGACAAGAACCUAUGUCCCCAUCCCCGCCGGCACCACCAGGUCACCAACCUGCUGCCCAGGACCUGGGAGUUGGGGUCCCACCUUUGUGCUCUGCCUUCUUGUAAGAUUCCCAGGGCAACUCUGGGAGUCGGCCAGGCUCCCCUCUGCCGCUCCGCGAAGGUCCACCAAACCAAAUGAACCCGGCUCCUACCAGUUCCUGUGCCCAGCUCCUACCAGUUCCGGUGGGCGGUGCUCCGUAGCCUGCUUCCUGUGCCCACUGGGUUCUGUUGUGCUCCCAGGGCCAGAGGCCCAGCACCAAGGGGCAGAGCCGCUCCCUUCGGAGCAAGUGGCCGGCUGACACCAAGGAGUUCGCUCUACCCCUGAUGCUGUGGCCUCACAGCCCUGGAGACACAGGAGGUGGAAAAUCCACCGUCCGAUCCCAGACACGAGCCCCCAGGAUUCGUGUGCAGAGACAAGACACCAAGGCCUUCAACAGGAAGUCGUGUUUUAUUAUUUACGCCGGCAUAAAGCACAGGUGGAAUUCCUUAUCCACAAGCCCGCCCCAGCAGAGGGGAUUGCCCAAGAUACGGUUGUAGUCUCUGUCUCCCUUAUAUGGUUACCUGCACACAUGUGAGGCAUGGGUACAACACUGCACAUGCGCACGCAGUUCCCGAUGGUGUUCUUGCACACAUACUGAGCUGUGAGCUGUCCGGCAAGGGUUAACGCCGGUGCUGGGCAGGCAGGGCACUCCCAGGCCAGCAGAGAGGAGGCAGUUCCCCUCCCCUGCCCUUGGGAAGCCGGCUACCACAACUUCAGCCGGGCCAGUGAGAAACAAGUUUAAAAGACACGGGCUUCUACCACGGCUGGAGGUGGAUCCACAACCACAGGGCCACAGGACUGGAAGCCCAGAGAGGCCUCCCGCGCUAUCUCGUCCGAUUUCCCACUAAACGUGGCUCUGCCCACAGAGCUCGCUUGCAUACCCACAGGAACGGCGAGCUCACGCCCAGAGCUUUAGGAAGUCCUUUUUAGAUCGAGCCCGAAUACCUCUCCCCGACACACCCUCCUGUCCUGGCGUCUCGGGACAGACUCUGGCUAGGUGAACGCGUGCAUUCAAACACUGCCACGCGCGUGGCUGUGAGAGCAGGCGACUGCCUGCUUCGGACAGACGAGGCGUUUCCCAAGUACGGGACAGACGUGAACAACCCAGGUUCAGAGCUCUGACUUUGAUCGAACGCCACUGGCAUCCGCUGGCCUCUCUCACUGGAGCCGGGACACCGUGAUUCUAACCAGAGUCGCCGCUGACAUCCUACAAGCUCCAUGGUGAAGUACAUUCCUGGCACUGACAUCUCAUUUUGAGA
Long non-coding RNA from Oryctolagus cuniculus (rabbit), 2746 nucleotides. The record is from Ensembl. NCBI's taxonomy places the organism in Eukaryota, Metazoa, Chordata, Mammalia, Lagomorpha, Leporidae.